Molecule: long non-coding RNA, 1399 nt
Filed under: Rosa chinensis
Lineage: Eukaryota; Viridiplantae; Streptophyta; Magnoliopsida; Rosales; Rosaceae
Description: sRNA RchiOBHm_Chr6g0292801
Source: RNAcentral
GGAGUAUUUUGAAUCUUCUGGGUGACUGUUGCAGUAAGGAAAAGAUCGUCUCCCAUCACUUAGCACUACAAAGAACUCGAAGCCUCCAUUCACGUGCUUCCAAGCUCCGUGUCGAGGUCCAAAUGGCGCUAACUUUAAGCCAAGGAGGGAUUCUCGAGAAGAACGACUCUCCGUUUGAAGCCUUCAACUUUGUUUCUUUUCUCUCAAGAUCUGACCCGUUGCCGCUUAAUCUCCAGGCCUCGAUCAAAAGUUAGUCGAGGUUAGAAGUUGCUUGGAUGUUGGUCAAAUAAAAAACCCAAGCUUGAGCCCUUGAUCUCUCUCUCUCUCUUCGUCAAACCCUAAAAUCCCAUUCUCAUAUGCCAAGUUCUCUGGCAGUCUAGUUCCUAUCGAAUCUAUGCCUUAUCUUCUCCAAGGCUCCACCAAGGGUUCGUAGACAAAAGAAUGUGGCAUCCCUAUCAAAAUCUUGUGAUGGUACUUUUAAUCAGCUUCUGCAGCGUGGUGUUUCCUCAGACUAGCUUUACGAUACCAUUUGCAAGCAGAUAUCACUCGCUCAAUUAAGGAACUAUGAUCUUGUUUAAAACUCAGUCAGGUGCGAGAUAUAACUUAUAUAUGGCAGACAGAUGAGCUUAGACGCCAUAAACCCACACCAGUUGAUGAAGCUAGGGUUUGAACAUUGUGGAGCAGUCCCUUUGGAAAGCUGUACCUCAUUAUUUAUAUCGUGUCAGCAAUAAAGAAGGUUGGUGAGUUUAUGCAGCUUCUAUAAGUCGAAUCAAUACCUAAAAAGGAGUUGUUGGGUGUACCAAUUGUAAGUCAUCCAAAAUCUUUCAAUUAAAAACAUAAGGUUCUGAUUCUUUGCCAUUGCCGUUUGUAUGUCAAAUGCUGGAUCAAUUUCUUUAACGAAGAUCAGGUCAUAAUUUUUGUUCACAUAAUGAAGAACAGAAACAACUACAUGCCCACUAUGUAAUAAAAUAUUAAAUAAGUUAUUUACAAUAGAUUGUGACAGUUUUUCAUUGCAUAGUUUGUCUGGGAUCUAAUAUUGACUAUCAUGCUCUUAUUUUGGAUCAACAACCAAUGGAUUUUGAGUUCCCAAUGGAGUUUCUUGAGGCUGGAAAUGUAUACAAGUAUGCAAAGAACUAUGUUUCUCGGCGAUACGUAAGCUUUUGUUACCACUACUUGACAGAUUACUUGCUUGAUAGUACUUGACAGUUUCGUCAGGAGAUCAUACAUAUAUUAGUCUUAGCUUGUCUAAAUUUUGGAGAAGAGGAGAAUCAGGAGAUCAUUGGUAUCAUGCCAUGGUUUAAGGCUGCCAAGAAUUUUAUUUUCCCAUUAUGUGGUUUGAUAAAAAUUAUUGAUAUUGUAAAUUAUUAUUAUUUUUUAAUUUAUAAUAUUGGUAGUCACC